AGAGUGAACGCUGGCGGUAGGCCUAACACAUGCAAGUCGAACGGCAGCACAGCAGUAGCAAUACUGUAGGUGGCGAGUGGCGGACGGGUGAGGAAUACAUCGGAAUCUACCUUUUCGUGGGGGAUAACGUAGGGAAACUUACGCUAAUACCGCAUAAGACCUUCGGGUGAAAGCCGGGGACCUUCGGGGCCUGGCGCGG
Molecule: ribosomal RNA, 199 nt
Filed under: uncultured soil bacterium
Lineage: Bacteria
Description: partial 16S ribosomal RNA
Rfam family: Bacterial small subunit ribosomal RNA
Source: RNAcentral